UUUAUCUAUUUUGUUUCUUCAGUAGUACACAAACCAAACUAAAACUUAUAAUGUUACUUAUUUUGAUGUCAAAUUGGUCGAGCCAUCUAUCUUUAGGAUGACCAAGUUUAUGGGUUUUUUAACAUUUGCUACGCUAAUUGAUCAUUGUUUUUCUCAAUCUGCUAAUUCUGAGGAUUAAAACUGGGAGUGGCACUGCAAUGACGAUGGACACGAAGGCCGGUAGCUGGUAGGAAGGAGGUGGUUUGAUGUGGGUACCUUGACUCCCACGGAUUACCCAUGGUGUCUGGAGGCGAGAAAAGAUCUACUGUGAUGUCGAACUCUGGUGUGCCACGAUGGCACCAGUUAUGACCGCAGCCUCCCAGGUGAUCGCACUAGAUUCACUUCGUAUUUUCCAUCCCCGGUCUGAUCAAUGGUUUACGGACUGAACUGCUGACUAGAAAAAUGACCCCGUCUAUGCUUAUGGUGUUCUUUCCCGUAUUUAGUAGAAGAUUUUUUUGUAGUUCUUGCAUACAGUAUAUGAUGAGGAUAGCUCCUGUAAUUGUGUGUCGAGUUCCAGAUAGACCAGGGCAAUGGGCAUCCACAUGUACAUAUUUUUUUCAGAGGGGAAAAAGUGAAAACCAGUGAACACUUACCUUACCUAUAAAAAAAUAAGCCAUCUGUCUUUGAGGGUUUCCAUGUAUGGGAAAUUAGCUAUUGGAGGCAUGAGAAAAAAUUCUUUGUGGUGGAUGUAUGUACAUAACAAGAAAGAUAAACUAUAUCUGCUAAGUGCUUCAUGUUUGUAUGCCCAGGAAAUGAGAUGGCAUGACCCUGUGGUAUACCCCUCUCUGUUCCUAGUUAUAAGGUGCACACGUUUUCGAGACAGGCUUUUGUUGCUUUCUGUUAUGUCCACUAGCCAUUGCCAAAAUAUAACUGAAUUUAAUGUGUAAGAUCUUAACUUGAGAUGGAGUUCUCCUGUUGCGUUAAUUCCAUUUAGAACCCCCAUGCUCGAGGUAGACAAGCAAAUAGGUACUAGUAUUUUCGUACUUUUACCACAAUAUUAUGUCAGGUGUUCCCUUUGUACUAGACUAGAGGUGUGGUGCUUAUGUUUCAGAUGUUUUUGAAUUUCAGUGCCAGGUUUGUAGCCUGAAGUGAUGAAGAAAAAGAGCUGGCCGGUGACAGAUGCUGCAAAUCUCACAACGCAAUUUGAAGCAGUUGCUAUGGAUGGUGAUGCACCUCUUGCUCCACACCUCCCUUUGGAAACUGUCUAUUGGCUCAGGUUUCUGUCAGAUGCCACGUGAUGCGGUAUCUGCUGAUGUCGACAACUAGAUGUGUGAAGUUGUGUCACUGAAGGCUGUAGGCAGGCCUGUCCUCAACUGCCUAUUUAUCACUAGCCCUGAUGAUUCGGUGCUUUGUUUUGCUUGCGUUAUUCAGUUUAUGUCUCGUGUCUCUUUGAGCUCCAGAACUUUUUCCAUACUUCAGUCAGUAUGCACAUAUUAUCAUGUGCAAUUUAUUAUAUUUAUUUGUGGUGCUGUUA
This is a long non-coding RNA of Lolium rigidum, 1513 nucleotides long. RefSeq lists it as uncharacterized. The record is from RefSeq and is a predicted model, not a curated record. Lineage: Eukaryota; Viridiplantae; Streptophyta; Magnoliopsida; Poales; Poaceae. The transcript is spliced from 2 exons.